GGAUGUGUGCCCGAGACUUAUGGGUUACUUUGAUAGAGUAAACCACAGGGACUUAUAAACCCCUCACCUCCU
Molecule: transfer RNA, 72 nt
Filed under: Podarcis lilfordi (Lilford's wall lizard)
Lineage: Eukaryota; Metazoa; Chordata; Lepidosauria; Squamata; Lacertidae
Description: tRNA-Ile
Source: RNAcentral